GACGAACGCUGGCGGCGUGCUUAACACAUGCAAGUCGAACGAGAAUCUACUGAAAGAGUUUUCGGACAAUGGAAGUAGAGGAAAGUGGCGGACGGGUGAGUAACGCGUGAGGAACCUGCCUUGAAGAGGGGGACAACAGUUGGAAACGACUGCUAAUACCGCAUGAAGCAUAGGGGUCGCAUGAUUCUUAUGCCAAAGAUUUAUCGCUUCAAGAUGGCCUCGCGUCUGAUUAGCUGGUUGGCGGGGUAACGGCCCACCAAGGCGACGGUCAGGAGCCGGUCUGAGUGGUUGACCGGCCACAUUGGGACUGGGGUACGGACCAGACUCCUUCGGGAGGCAGCCGUGAGGAUUAUUGAGCAAUGCGCGCUAGCCUGACACAGCCACGCCGCGUGAAGGAAGAAGGCUUUCGGGUUGUAAACUUCUUUUAAGAGGGAAGAGCAGAAGACGGUACCUCUAGAAUAAGCCACGGCUAACUACGUG
This 480-nucleotide ribosomal RNA is filed under the name uncultured bacterium. RNAcentral describes it as "partial 16S ribosomal RNA". It matches the Rfam family "Bacterial small subunit ribosomal RNA", at positions 28 to 507 of the family's 1533-position model. The record is from RNAcentral.